Molecule: long non-coding RNA, 2691 nt
Organism: Oxyura jamaicensis (ruddy duck)
Lineage: Eukaryota; Metazoa; Chordata; Aves; Anseriformes; Anatidae
Exons: 4
Source: RefSeq, a predicted model, not a curated record
AAAGAAAAUGUGCAGAGAAGCAAGGGAAAAAAAUAUUUUGCCUCAUCAUUGCUUCAGUUCCAUAACUUCAUGUCUGGCAAUCUAGACGGAGACUUAUUCUUGCUUCAGCACAAAAGUAACUACAGGUCAAGACGUGAUGGAAGUACUGUAAGGGAAUUAGUCAACUGUUUGUGCAGGGUUUCACUAGGAGGAGCCAUACCGGAAAGCACAACUGUUAAAGGACUGAGAAUGGCACAGAGCCACCCCAGUCCAGGUUGGAAAACACAGGAGAAGAAAAGGAGUGAGUAAUGAGUCAGGCUCCCUUUGGGAGCUGCCCAGGGUUCCUGUCAUUACCCAGGUCCCUGUGGGUUUGUUGUGGAGAAGAUGGCUAUGGCUCAGCCUCCUGUUCUGGACUGAUGCAUGUCCCAGAGGAGCAUCUAGCUUGGCAGACUCUUGCAGGAGUAUCUGUUCUGAGCUCGUCAGAGGUAGCUCAGAAAGAAAUCCAUGAGGUGGCCCCAACUCUGUCCUCUCCUUCAAACCCCUGCUGAAAGACCAUUAAAGAGCUACAUGACACUGAAGCACAGCAUCAGCAUUAAGAACACUGCAUAUAUAAGCAUUUAUCCAGCCAGAAAAAAGUAACAUUAACCUGACAGACUGUCUCCAGAAAUAGAAGAAUAUAUGUAUGGGAAAUAAAUGCUUCAUUUUUGAUGGUAAAAAUGCAAGUGGACCCUCCUGAAGGGAUGUAAUUAAAAAAUGUAGCAGGAGUAGGGAGGGGAAACAUGGAUGAUGAAAGGCAAUUUUAUCCCAGUAGAAGGCUUCCUUCUUCAGCAUUUAUGGGGCGGCUCUGUAGCUACAUGGAGACUAAAGCAGAAGAAGGUAAUGAGAGAGACAUGAAGACUGGGUAUUAAAUGUGAUAAGAAAGCAGCUGGAUGUAGAAAUGAGGAUAAGGCUUUGAACUGAGCACCUGGGCAAAAGACUGAAGCUAAGCAGCUGCAUUCAGGUGGUGGAGAGCUAGGCUGGGGGCCUAAGGGGGACUGGGACAAAAAGUACAGACACAAGAGAUCAACGCUUUCAGGUAAGAGGCUGGUAGAGAAAAAGGAAGAUUGAUGACUGGAACUGGCUGGGAAAAUGGAAUGGCAACUGGCUGAGAGAGAAAGCAGUGGUGGGGAUCAAGGAUCCAGAGAUGUAGAAGGAACAGAAAUGGGAGAGGUGUGGUUUGAGGUGUGUAAGACAGACUUAGCAGGGAAAAACAUCUGUAAGAGACUGCAGACCCUCCCCUAGUAAUUCCAGAUAACAAGGCCCCUGUGUCAUGGCACUGCUCCGAUGUCAUCCCACAGCAAAAGUGGCCUCUGGUCCACAGAGGAGUUGGCAACUUUGCAUUGCUACAAAUUACCUCAUCAGCUCAGAGGGCAUGAUAAGUCCGUAUGGAGAAGCUAAAAGCUAACCCCACUAGUGUGAGGCAUAGAGGUGUUAAUAUGAUGCCACAUAAUAGAAAUUUUGUUUUUCCACUUUGCUUCAUUAAGAACCUAGGAAAUUACCUACAAACACUCUGUUAAAAGAACUCUGUGAGCUGCCAAAACAAACACUCAGAAGUUGGAAAGUGCCAGAGCUGAAGCUGUCUGUGCAGCUUUUUCCCCAUUUGCACAUAUGCAUAGGGAACACAUCUUUAUUUGCAGAAAAAAGGUACUCUUCUCCCACAGAAACUGUGUCAGUCUGUGCUCAAACCUGGGUUCUGUCAAGAUGAGUCAGGACUGUGUAUGAGGUGCUGUAGUCUACUCACACUAUCCAUUUUCUGUAGGUUCAAUAAUGUGUUUUGAAUACAUUUGAUUAGGGCAAACCAGUGGGGGCUAUCCUGCUUAAAGCUGUUGAAUACUAAUCUGAAGAACUGGAUAUAACCCUGCCUGACUGUGCCACAUAUCUCUUCUACUCCAAUAAUAAGUUCUUACACCAAAUUUUGCGCUCAUGGUGACUAAUUGCACAUUCCCAGUUAUGUGGGUACCUGCCUUGAGACUCCAGGGCCUGAUCUGGAGAAGUGCUGAGCACUCGCAGCUACAGCAGAACUCAGUGGGAGCUCUGCUCUGAAUAUCUGAAGAAUUACAUAAUGGUAAGUACCCUGACAAAUUAGAACCUGGAGUCUUAAAUAAAGCACCCCAAAUCACUGCACCUCUCAGCUCUUCUGUUACCCAGCUGUAAAAUGGGGAUGAUAAUCAUAAGGGAGAUCUGAAAAUAAAUACACAUUUGUGAACUGCUUAGAGACUACAGUCAUUAAGACCAUGGGAAGUUUUGCAAAUUAAAUUAAAAAUUGUUUCUUCAGAUCAAGAUCAACUACUCUGUGGUAAAAAGGCUUUUAGGCCACAUGUUAAACAUAUGGAGAAAGGAAAAUAUUGAAUGGCUUUUCAAUAAAUUAAUGCUGCCCAUCAUGAACGAUGAAGAGGCAGUGAUCCUGUGGGAAAGGCAAGAAGUGGUCAUGUACUCAAGGAAGGCAUCGCAAACAUGCACACAGAGGGAGGGUAUUUAAACUCCAUGCUCCUAAAGCUGGCUAUUUGAACUGCUGGACACUUAAUGUCACAAAUUGCUAAUAUGAUUUUUGUGUAUUGAAUGAUGGGGAUAAUAGAUACUUAAGAAUUUUAUUUUCUUUUGAGGGAGAGAUUUUCUGAUUGAAAUCAAGCUAAACAUUAUACAUAUGUGCUAUUAGCUGAACCUAAUCCGACU